Molecule: ribosomal RNA, 1372 nt
Filed under: uncultured bacterium
Lineage: Bacteria
Description: bacterial SSU rRNA
Rfam family: Bacterial small subunit ribosomal RNA
Source: RNAcentral
GAUGAACGCUGGCGGCGUGCCUAAUACAUGCAAGUCGAGCGAACGGACGAGAAGCUUGCUUCUCUGAUGUUAGCGGCGGACGGGUGAGUAACACGUGGAUAACCUACCUAUAAGACUGGGAUAACUUCGGGAAACCGGAGCUAAUACCGGAUAAUAUUUUGAACCGCAUGGUUCAAAAGUGAAAGACGGUCUUGCUGUCACUUAUAGAUGGAUCCGCGCUGCAUUAGCUAGUUGGUAAGGUAACGGCUUACCAAGGCAACGAUGCAUAGCCGACCUGAGAGGGUGAUCGGCCACACUGGAACUGAGACACGGUCCAGACUCCUACGGGAGGCAGCAGUAGGGAAUCUUCCGCAAUGGGCGAAAGCCUGACGGAGCAACGCCGCGUGAGUGAUGAAGGUCUUCGGAUCGUNAAACUCUGUUAUUAGGGAAGAACAUAUGUGUAAGUAACUGUGCACAUCUUGACGGUACCUAAUCAGAAAGCCACGGCUAACUACGUGCCAGCAGCCGCGGUAAUACGUAGGUGGCAAGCGUUAUCCGGAAUUAUUGGGCGUAAAGCGCGCGUAGGCGGUUUUUUAAGUCUGAUGUGAAAGCCCACGGCUCAACCGUGGAGGGUCAUUGGAAACUGGAAAACUUGAGUGCAGAAGAGGAAAGUGGAAUUCCAUGUGUAGCGGUGAAAUGCGCAGAGAUAUGGAGGAACACCAGUGGCGAAGGCGACUUUCUGGUCUGUAACUGACGCUGAUGUGCGAAAGCGUGGGGAUCAAACAGGAUUAGAUACCCUGGUAGUCCACGCCGUAAACGAUGAGUGCUAAGUGUUAGGGGGUUUCCGCCCCUUAGUGCUGCAGCUAACGCAUUAAGCACUCCGCCUGGGGAGUACGACCGCAAGGUUGAAACUCAAAGGAAUUGACGGGGACCCGCACAAGCGGUGGAGCAUGUGGUUUAAUUCGAAGCAACGCGAAGAACCUUACCAAAUCUUGACAUCCUUUGACAACUCUAGAGAUAGAGCCUUCCCCUUCGGGAGACAAAGUGACAGGUGGUGCAUGGUUGUCGUCAGCUCGUGUCGUGAGAUGUUGGGUUAAGUCCCGCAACGAGCGCAACCCUUAAGCUUAGUUGCCAUCAUUAAGUUGGGCACUCUAAGUUGACUGCCGGUGACGAACCGGAGGAAGGUGGGGAUGACGUCAAAUCAUCAUGCCCCUUAUGAUUUGGGCUACACACGUGCUACAAUGGACAAUACAAAGGGCAGCGAAACCGCGAGGUCAAGCAAAUCCCAUAAAGUUGUUCUCAGUUCGGAUUGUAGUCUGCAACUCGACUACAUGAAGCUGGAAUCGCUAGUAAUCGUAGAUCAGCAUGCUACGGUGAAUACGUUCCCGGGUCU